This 301-nucleotide ribosomal RNA is filed under the name uncultured bacterium. RNAcentral's name for it is "partial 16S ribosomal RNA". It matches the Rfam family "Bacterial small subunit ribosomal RNA", at positions 509 to 807 of the family's 1533-position model. The record is from RNAcentral.
CAGUAGCCACGGUAAUACGUAGGGUGCGAGCGUUAAUCGGAAUUACUGGGCGUAAAGCGUGCGCAGGCGGUUGUGUAAGACAGGUGUGAAAUCCCCGGGCUUAACCUGGGAACUGCGUUCUGAACUGGGUGGCUAGAGUGUGUCAGAGGGGGGUAGAAUUCCACGUGUAGCAGUGAAAUGCGUAGAGAUGUGGAGGAAUACCGAUGGCGAAGGCAGCCCCCUGGGAUAACACUGACGUUCAUGCCCGAAAGCGUGGGUAGCAAACAGGAUUAGAUACCCCCGUAGUCCCUGUCUCUUAUAC